CCUUCUAUCGAGGUAGCGUCGGCGUAGGAGACUGCCACGUGGCAAAGAUGGGUCUUCGGGUCACAUGAAGCGGGUAUGGGCAAAUCCCGGGUCCGGGUCCUGCAGAUAUUGGACGAGCAAGGUACGGGCUUAUAGGAAGAGGAUGAAACCGGGUUGAAUACGGAUCCUAAGUUUGGGGUUUUCUUGCAGUGAAGCCAAGAAAGCUCGCUUCCGGUGUCGAGAACCAUGGAGAUGUUUUGUGGCGGAGAGCCGACGGAGAGAGAGACCGUGAGUGUGACAUUAUGACUGAAAGAAAG
This 296-nucleotide long non-coding RNA is filed under the name Brassica rapa (field mustard). RNAcentral's name for it is "long non-coding RNA (BRAP_LNC003113)". The record is from RNAcentral. Lineage: Eukaryota; Viridiplantae; Streptophyta; Magnoliopsida; Brassicales; Brassicaceae.